Molecule: long non-coding RNA, 231 nt
Filed under: Vicia faba (fava bean)
Lineage: Eukaryota; Viridiplantae; Streptophyta; Magnoliopsida; Fabales; Fabaceae
Source: RNAcentral
AUGGGCAAUACCUCCCUAUAUUCUUUGCAAGAGACCAUUCCCUCACAGUCGAUGCUCCUUCUUGCUACAAAGGCACCCUUGAAACUUGGAAGAUUUAUUCUAGUAAGAUGGCAGGCAAAGUCUAGCAGGGGCAAGCCUAAACCUCUACUUCCACCGUCGCAGCCUAUAACUCUAAAGCUAGAGUAUAGUAUAUCUAAAGUGCGCUUUUGGCUUAUUUAUCGUUUUAGUUGA